RNAcentral lists this transfer RNA (75 nucleotides) under Rhizophagus irregularis DAOM 181602=DAOM 197198. RNAcentral's name for it is "tRNA-Ile (TAT) (tRNA-Ile-TAT-2-1)". It matches the Rfam family "tRNA". Rfam says of the family: Transfer RNA (tRNA) molecules are approximately 80 nucleotides in length. Their secondary structure includes four short double-helical elements and three loops (D, anti-codon, and T loops). Lineage: Eukaryota; Fungi; Glomeromycota; Glomeromycetes; Glomerales; Glomeraceae. The record is from RNAcentral.
GCCCGGUUAGUUCAGUUGGUUAGAACGCCACAACUUAUUAUCGUGGAAACGCGGGUUCAAUUCCUGCACUGGGCU